UACGAAGGGGGCUAGCGUUGCUCGGAAUUACUGGGCGUAAAGGGCGCGUAGGCGGACAGUUUAGUCAGAGGUGAAAGCCCAGGGCUCAACCUUGGAAUUGCCUUUGAUACUGGCUGUCUUGAGUUCGGGAGAGGUGAGUGGAAUGCCGAGUGUAGAGGUGAAAUUCGUAGAUAUUCGGCGGAACACCAGUGGCGGAGGCGACUCACUGGCCCGAUACUGACGCUGAGGCGCGAAAGCGUGGGGAGCAAACAGG
RNAcentral lists this ribosomal RNA (253 nucleotides) under uncultured bacterium. RNAcentral's name for it is "partial 16S ribosomal RNA". It matches the Rfam family "Bacterial small subunit ribosomal RNA", at positions 524 to 776 of the family's 1533-position model. The record is from RNAcentral.